ACAUCUCAGGUGGCCACCAUUCAA
This 24-nucleotide unclassified non-coding RNA is filed under the name Mus musculus (house mouse). RNAcentral describes it as "oocyte_clustered_small_RNA2858". The record is from RNAcentral. Lineage: Eukaryota; Metazoa; Chordata; Mammalia; Rodentia; Muridae.